AAACUAACAAGGAUUCCCCUAGUAACGGCGAGUGAAGCGGGAAGAGCUCAAAUUUGAAAUCUGGCAGUCUUCGAUUGUCCGAGUUGUAAUCUAUAGAGGCGUUUUCCGUGCCGGACCGUGUCCAAGUCUCCUGGAAAGGAGUAUCAAAGAGGGUGAUAAUCCCGUACUUAACACGACCACCGGUGCUCUGUGAUACGUCUUCUACGAGUCGAGUUGUUUGGGAAUGCAGCUCAAAAUGGGUGGUGAAUUCCAUCUAAAGCUAAAUAUUGGCGAGAGACCGAUAGCGAACAAGUACCGUGAGGGAAAGAUGAAAAGCACUUUGGAAAGAGAGUUAAACAGUACGUGAAAUUGUUGAAAGGGAAACGAUUGAAGUCAGUCGUGUUCUUUGGAUUCAGCCAGUUCUGCUGGUCUACUUCCUUGGAACGGGUCAACAUCAGUUUUGUCCGGUGGAUAAAGGUAGUAGGAAUGUGACUUCUCCGGAAGUGUUAUAGCCUAUUAUCACAUACACUGGGUGAGACUGAGGACUGCAGCUCGCCUUUAUGGCCGGCCUUCGGGCACGUUCGAGCUUAGGAUGUUGACAUAAUGGCUUUUAAACGAC
RNAcentral lists this ribosomal RNA (598 nucleotides) under Trichosporon asahii. RNAcentral describes it as "eukaryotic LSU rRNA". It matches the Rfam family "Eukaryotic large subunit ribosomal RNA", at positions 62 to 648 of the family's 3401-position model. Lineage: Eukaryota; Fungi; Basidiomycota; Tremellomycetes; Trichosporonales; Trichosporonaceae. The record is from RNAcentral.